This 412-nucleotide ribosomal RNA is filed under the name uncultured microorganism. RNAcentral describes it as "bacterial SSU rRNA". It matches the Rfam family "Archaeal small subunit ribosomal RNA", at positions 330 to 745 of the family's 1478-position model. The record is from RNAcentral.
GUGCACCAGUCGCGAAACUUCACACUGCGCGAAAGCGCGAUGAGGGAAUCCCAAGUGCUUGCACGUAAGUGUAAGCUGUUUCUCUGUCUAAAAGCAGAGAGAGUAAGGGCUGGGUAAGACGGGUGCCAGCCGCCGCGGUAAUACCUGCAGCUCAAGUGGUGGCCGCUAUUAUUGGGCCUAAAACGUCCGUAGCCGGUCUAGUAAAUGCCUGGGUAAAUCGUGAGGCUUAACCUUACGAAUUCCGGGUAGACUGCUAGACUUGAGACCGGGAGAGGCUAGAGGUACUCCUGGGGUAGAGGUGAAAUUCUGUAAUCCUAGGGGGACCACCAGUGGCGAAGGCGUCUAGCUAGAACGGGUCUGACGGUGAGGGACGAAGCCCUGGGGCGCAAACCGGAUUAGAUACCCGUGUAGU